GGGUGGAGGAUGAUCUCUUGGUGGUAUCUGAUGGUCACAGACGAUACACAGAUGUAUGGACCCUAGAUUCAGCCUAUUCGCAUCACUAUACCCCAAACUGGUCUUGGUUCGUGACAUACAUCAAGAUUGAUGAGGGGAUCGUGACACUCGAAGAUGAUCACCCAUGCAAGGUUGCUGGUACAGAGAGUAUUCAGGUAAGGAUAUUUGAUAGGAUGGUGCAAGAUCUCACAAAUG
This 234-nucleotide long non-coding RNA is filed under the name Elaeis guineensis (African oil palm). RNAcentral describes it as "long non-coding RNA (EGUI_LNC071996)". Lineage: Eukaryota; Viridiplantae; Streptophyta; Magnoliopsida; Arecales; Arecaceae. The record is from RNAcentral.